This 471-nucleotide ribosomal RNA is filed under the name uncultured cyanobacterium. RNAcentral's name for it is "bacterial SSU rRNA". It matches the Rfam family "Bacterial small subunit ribosomal RNA", at positions 355 to 841 of the family's 1533-position model. Lineage: Bacteria; Bacillati; Cyanobacteriota. RNAcentral also lists the same sequence under 1 other name. The record is from RNAcentral.
UGGGGAAUUUUCCGCAAUGGGCGAAAGCCUGACGGAGCAAUACCGCGUGAGGGAGGAAGGCUCUUGGGUUGUAAACCUCAAAACUUAGGGAAGAAGAAAGUGACGGUACCUAAUAUAAGCAUCGGCUAACUCCGUGCCAGCAGCCGCGGUAAUACGGAGGAUGCAAGCGUUAUCCGGAAUCAUUGGGCGUAAAGCGUCCGUAGGUGGCAUUUCAAGUCUGCUGUCAAAGACCGAAGCUCAACUUCGGGUAGGCGGUGGAAACUGAAAAGCUAGAGUAUAGUAGGGGUAGAGGGAAUUCCUAGUGUAGCGGUGAAAUGCGUAGAGAUUAGGAAGAACACCAGUGGCGAAGGCGCUCUACUGGGCAUAUACUGACACUGAGGGACGAAAGCUAGGGUAGCGAAAGGGAUUAGAUACCCCUGUAGUCCUAGCGGUAAACGAUGGAUACUAGGUGUUGUCUGUAUCGACCCAGAC